Molecule: unclassified non-coding RNA, 411 nt
Filed under: Arrojadocharis santosii
Lineage: Eukaryota; Viridiplantae; Streptophyta; Magnoliopsida; Asterales; Asteraceae
Description: partial contains external transcribed spacer and 18S ribosomal RNA
Source: RNAcentral
UUGGUUUGUUACCGGUGGUCGGCUCUCUUGCUUGUGCACAACUUCCACCUGACAUGCCUAUUCGUUUGUCCGUUAAGGCUUCUAUUACCUGAACAAACUGUGGGUUUUCUGUGUUGCCUGCCUAACAAAGGGUAUUGAUUUGGCUUAUCUACGUUCCGUUCGUCUUWCGUCAUGCUAUGACGUUAGAUGAACCCUAAACAUGUCUCUUUGAACCACAUCAUUAAUGCUUGUUUAUGUAGUGGCGCAUUGAGCCUUGCUUGGUCUCUUCGAUGUAGUGCUUGAUGUGGGCAUGGGUCUGUUGUGAUCCUUGUUAUGACCCUGAUUAGUGUUUACGCUUCGUARAAUGACUGCUUGACACGCGUUGGCUCGUAAAAGCGUGUUGGGCUUUGUCUAAAAAGAAUGUUACCUGGU